UGAGGAAUAUUGGUCAAUGGACGCAAGUCUGAACCAGCCAAAUCGCGUGAAGGACGACUGCCUUAUGGGUUGUAAACUUCUUUUAUAAGGGAAUAAAAAGAGAUACGCGUAUCUUGUUGCAUGUACCUUAUGAAUAAGCAUCGGCUAACUCCGUGCCAGCAGCCGCGGUAAUACGGAGGAUGCGAGCGUUAUCCGGAUUUAUUGGGUUUAAAGGGUGCGUAGGCGGGAGAUUAAGUCAGCGGUGAAAUUUACAGGCUCAACCUGUACCCUGCCGUUGAAACUGGUUUUCUUGAGUAUAGAUGAAGUAGGCGGAAUUCGUUGUGUAGCGGUGAAAUGCAUAGAUAUAACGAGGAACCCCAAUUGCGUAGGCAGCUUACUAAGCUAUAACUGACGCUGAUGC
RNAcentral lists this ribosomal RNA (400 nucleotides) under uncultured bacterium. Its description in RNAcentral is "bacterial SSU rRNA". It matches the Rfam family "Bacterial small subunit ribosomal RNA", at positions 355 to 752 of the family's 1533-position model. The record is from RNAcentral.